AGCGAACGCUGGCGGCAGGCCUAUCACAUGCAAGUCGAACGAACCUUUCGGGGUUAGUGGCGGACGGGUGAGUAACACGUGGGAACGUGCCUUUAGGUUCGGAAUAACUCAGGGAAACUUGUGCUAAUACCGAAUGUGCCCUUCGGGGGAAAGAUUAAUCGCCUUUAGAGCGGCCGCGUCUGAUUAGCUAGUUGGUUGAGGUAAUGGCUCACCAAGGCGACGAUCAGUAGCUGGUCUGAGAGGAUGAUCAGCCACAUUGGGACUGAGACACGGCCCAAACUCCUACGGGAGGCAGCAGUGGGGAAUCUUGCGCAAUGGGCGAAAGCCUGACGCAGCCAUGCCGCGUGAAUGAUGAAGGUCUUAGGAUUGUAAAAUUCUUUCACCGGGGACGAUAAUGACGGUACCCGGAGAAGAAGCCCCGGCUAACUUCGUG
RNAcentral lists this ribosomal RNA (433 nucleotides) under uncultured bacterium. RNAcentral's name for it is "partial 16S ribosomal RNA". It matches the Rfam family "Bacterial small subunit ribosomal RNA", at positions 29 to 507 of the family's 1533-position model. The record is from RNAcentral.